RNAcentral lists this ribosomal RNA (476 nucleotides) under uncultured bacterium. Its description in RNAcentral is "partial 16S ribosomal RNA". It matches the Rfam family "Bacterial small subunit ribosomal RNA", at positions 29 to 507 of the family's 1533-position model. The record is from RNAcentral.
AUGAACGCUGGCGGCGUGCCUCACCCAUGCCAGUCGCACGAAGCACCUUACCUGAUUCUUCGGAUGAAAGUUUGGUGACUGAGUGGCGGACGGGUGAGUAACGCGUGGGUAACCUGCCCUGUACAGGGGGAUAACAGCUGGAAACGGCUGCUAAUACCGCAUAAGCGCACGAGGAGACAUCUCCUUGUGUGAAAAACUCCGGUGGUACAGGAUGGGCCCGCGUCUGAUUAGCUGGUUGGCAGGGUAACGGCCUACCAAGGCAACGAUCAGUAGCCGGUCUGAGAGGAUGAACGGCCACAUUGGAACUGAGACACGGUCCAAACUCCUACGGGAGGCAGCAGUGGGGAAUAUUGCACAAUGGGGGAAACCCUGAUGCAGCAACGCCGCGUGAGUGAAGAAGUAUUUCGGUAUGUAAAGCUCUAUCAGCAGGGAAGAUAAUGACGGUACCUGACUAAGAAGCGCCGGCUAAAUACGUG